AAGGAGCUGGAUGGUCUCAAAAGGACAAAGAGCUUAUGCAUCUACUUCUGAGAACCCUAGAGUCUCAGGCCUACUGAAGCAGAAAGCAGAAUGAAACACCUAGACUGGAGAGGGACGGACAGUGAAUCAAGAUGCAGAACUCUCAGCUUCUUCUCCAGCACCAUGUGUGCCUCCGUGCCUCCAUGCUUCGCACUAUGAUAAUCAUGGACAGAACUUCUGAAACUAUGAACUGCACACAGUGUUAGCUGUGGAGUUGCAUUCCUGGAGGACAGGGAUUCCUUGGGGACACCUGCAGAGAGACACCCUCAGUUCAUCCUGCCAGACCCCUCCUGCAUUCAUCAGCAGCAGAUGUCCAGCAAGGCGUGAUGCCCCUCCAAACCACAUCAGGCAGCAUCCUGAUCCAAGAUCUGCAACAGUGUUCUGGCCACACAGCUGCCACCAGACCCACUGGCAUCUCAGACAGUAUCGUGUUAUUACUACUUAAUACACGUCAGUUACUACAUUUUCCUCCUCCGUUGAUGUCCAUAGCUUCUUUGGUGGACUUGCAGUGAGGAAAAGGAGAGGCCUGCCUGGCCUCUCUCAAGAGACUCAGAGUUUAGAUUCCCCAGAGAAGUAACAGUCCUUUGUAAGUGGCUUGUGCUGGUGCCCCUAGGACUCAACAACUCCAUCUGACUGAAGCAACACUCUUACUGAGGGGUGAAACCACAGGAUUUCCCAAACCUUGCCCAGCAGUUUCAUCCCUGAACCCCCAUGUUAACCCAGUACUACCUUGCUGAUAAUGAAUGAGGCAUUACCCAGCCCUUCCAAAGCCAAAUACACUAAGAACCCUCUGGAAGACCUAACUCAGG
RNAcentral lists this long non-coding RNA (848 nucleotides) under Mus musculus (house mouse). RNAcentral describes it as "RIKEN cDNA E230032D23 gene". The record is from RNAcentral. Lineage: Eukaryota; Metazoa; Chordata; Mammalia; Rodentia; Muridae.